This 468-nucleotide ribosomal RNA is filed under the name uncultured bacterium. Its description in RNAcentral is "partial 16S ribosomal RNA". It matches the Rfam family "Bacterial small subunit ribosomal RNA", at positions 28 to 507 of the family's 1533-position model. The record is from RNAcentral.
GACGAACGCUGGCGGCGUGCUUAACACAUGCAAGUCGAACGGAAAGGCCCUGCUUUUGUGGGGUGCUCGAGUGGCGAACGGGUGAGUAACACGUGAGUAACCUGCCCUUGACUUUGGGAUAACUUCAGGAAACUGGGGCUAAUACCGGAUAGGAGCUCCUGCUGCAUGGUGGGGGUUGGAAAGUUUCGGCGGUUGGGGAUGGACUCGCGGCUUAUCAGCUUGUUGGUGGGGUAGUGGCUUACCAAGGCUUUGACUGGUAGCCGGCCUGAGAGGGUGAACGGCCACAUUGGGACUGAGAGACGGCCCAGACUCCUACGGGAGGCAGCAGUGGGGAAUAUGGCACAGUGGGCGGAAGCCUGAUGCAGCAACGCCGCGUUCGGGAUGACGGCCUGCGGGUUGUAAACCGCUUUCGCCUGUGACGAAGCGGGAGUGACGGUAAUGGGUAAAGAAGCACCGGCUAACUACGUG